GCAAACUUGGUCAUUUAGAGGAAGUAAAAGUCGUAACAAGGUCUCCGUAGGUGAACCUGCGGAGGGAUCAUUACCGAGACGGUCCUCGUGGCUCGUCCACGAGGGCCUGACCUCACACCCCCUGUCGUCUUCUACCCUGUUACCUCCGGGAGGGGCCCCCCCUAAGCCGUGGUCACCACGGCUCGCGGGGGCCGCCCGGGGUGUCGAAUCAUCUCGACUCUUUAAACGGAUACCCAGUAGCGUCUGAGUUGUCGCCUAGCGAACGAAUCAAUCAAAACUUUCAACAACGGAUCUCUUGGUUCUGGCAUCGAUGAAGAACGCAGC
Molecule: unclassified non-coding RNA, 324 nt
Filed under: uncultured fungus
Lineage: Eukaryota; Fungi
Description: partial contains small subunit ribosomal RNA, internal transcribed spacer 1, and 5.8S ribosomal RNA
Rfam family: Eukaryotic small subunit ribosomal RNA (bases 1-73)
Source: RNAcentral